Molecule: long non-coding RNA, 91 nt
Filed under: Fukomys damarensis (Damara mole-rat)
Lineage: Eukaryota; Metazoa; Chordata; Mammalia; Rodentia; Bathyergidae
Description: lncRNA (ENSFDAG00000026446.1)
Source: RNAcentral
CAGCAGCUCCCUGUGAGUAGCUUUCUAAUCUGCUGGGGCCACGGUAACAAGACUGACUACGAAAACCAGACAUCCAAAAGUCUGAAAGACA